AGGCCAUGAUGGGGACACUUGCGUAAUAGCUCCUUGAACCUUUCCCAUGUUUCAUAUAAGGAUUCCCCGUCCUCUUGUGAGUAUGUAUUAAUUUCAGCCAUUAAUUU
Helianthus annuus (common sunflower) is the source of this 107-nucleotide non-coding RNA. NCBI's taxonomy places the organism in Eukaryota, Viridiplantae, Streptophyta, Magnoliopsida, Asterales, Asteraceae. The record is from Rfam.